CCAUAGGUAGAGAUGCUUCUGUAAUUACAUGCAACGCACAUCCUGCUCCUGUAAAUUCCAAUUAGCAAAAGCAAAGAGGCAGUUUGAUGGUCAGAAAGCACAUGGGCAGCACCACGCAGGUGGCUGACACUGGGAUUGGAAGCAGCCUGGUGCUGUUAGGAUAACCCAUGGCCUGUGCUCUGCUGAGGGAGCCUAUUUAUAACCUGCUGCAGGACUCUCCUUCAGUAGAGCCUGUUGAUCCCCUGGUACAGCAAGACAGGAACAAUACUGUGAUAGCGUGGGGAAUGUGCCCCUGUCAGGACAAGAAUUUUUCUUUGUUUUAUGAGCAUCAUUUAUGACCCUGACCUUCAAUGCAGGGAAAAGUAUCAAUUUUAUGCUGCUGAUAAAGAAGGGGAGACAAGGCAAACAUGAGAAAAUUUCAACUAGAUGAUGAAGAAAAAUGAUAGCACUCCAAUGCUGUAAAAGUAAAGAGGCUUUUAACAAUUUCAGAAUGGAAAGAGAAGGGAAUCCUAAAGAGAUGUUAGAGAUGAUCAAUUCAGACUUCUCACCAUUUGCCUGUCAUCCAUCUGUCCUGGUCCCCAGAGCGUGCUGUUUCUUAUUGAUGGAAUGGCCUGUGCUCCUUCAGUGAUCUACAG
RNAcentral lists this long non-coding RNA (635 nucleotides) under Cyanistes caeruleus (blue tit). RNAcentral's name for it is "lncRNA (ENSCCEG00000008940.1)". Lineage: Eukaryota; Metazoa; Chordata; Aves; Passeriformes; Paridae. The record is from RNAcentral.